UACGUAGGGGGCGAGCGUUAUCCGGAUUCAUUGGGCGUAAAGCGCGCGUAGGCGGGUGCCUAAGCGGGACCUCUAACCUCGGGGCUCAACCCCGAGCCGGGUCCCGAACUGGGCGCCUCGAGUGCGGUAGGGGAGAUCGGAAUUCCCGGUGUAGCGGUGGAAUGCGCAGAUAUCGGGAAGAACACCGAUGGCGAAGGCAGAUCUCUGGGCCGCCACUGACGCUGAGGCGCGAAAGCUAGGGGAGCGAACAGG
Molecule: ribosomal RNA, 252 nt
Filed under: uncultured bacterium
Lineage: Bacteria
Description: partial 16S ribosomal RNA
Rfam family: Bacterial small subunit ribosomal RNA
Source: RNAcentral